This is a long non-coding RNA of Salvia splendens (bonfire salvia), 572 nucleotides long. RefSeq lists it as uncharacterized. The transcript has 2 exons. NCBI's taxonomy places the organism in Eukaryota, Viridiplantae, Streptophyta, Magnoliopsida, Lamiales, Lamiaceae. The record is from RefSeq and is a predicted model, not a curated record.
GCCAAAUCGUGCUCAUCGUUUUUUUUGUCCAAUAGCCCCUACUUGUCUUAUUCUAUCUUUCGAGCUUUGGAUUUUAUUGGUUGUAUCUUUACAGUACAGGCCCUUUGAUACGGGAACACACCCGACAACAAUCACAGAAGCGCAAGGGGACGAAGUGAGACGGGAGGAAGGCUGCGAGGUACUGAGAGCAGAGGAGAAUCAGUUGGUGUUUGAAACUGCAGGGGAAGAAAGAGCGCCAGCGGCAGUGCCGAGCAGGAGCGACCGGCCACGACGGGAGUCGAGACCUCCAGUGAAGUAUGGAGACUUCGUGGUCGCACGGAAAAAGCGUUGAAGAUUCAGACGUGGAGAGUUAUUUUGCUUUCUUUAAUAUUAGUAUUUAUUUUGGAUGUUGCUAUUUCAUUAUUUGGACCGAUUUAAUUAAAGUUUAGAGUCGAGCCCAAUAAGCUCCUUUCCGGGUUUUCUUGGUGAUUCUUUCCCGGAUCGCAAAAGAGAGUCGAAUCAUCUAGGGUCCUUAGAUUAUAAAAGGGGAUUGUGUUAUGAAUUGUUCAUCAAGAAAUAACAUAUUUUUCCUA